Long non-coding RNA from Alosa alosa (allis shad), 1392 nucleotides. RefSeq lists it as uncharacterized. The transcript has 3 exons. The record is from RefSeq and is a predicted model, not a curated record. Lineage: Eukaryota; Metazoa; Chordata; Actinopteri; Clupeiformes; Clupeidae.
UGUUCACGAUUCAUAUUCAACAAUGGGAAAACCCAUUUUCGGGGUGUUUCGUUAUUUCAUUGUUCAAAUACGUGAAAUGAAAUUGAGAGCACGGACUCGUCACCUUAUGCUAUUCUCAACUUUGAAAAUGAAAGUUGAACAAGGAUGUAUAUCAUUGUCCAAAUAGGCGAACGCACGGAACCGUCACCUUAUACCAUUCUCAACUUGGAAAAUGAAAAUUGAAACAAGGAAGUUGGGAGACAGGGGGGAAAGUGUCAAAAUAAAAGUUGCGUACGUCGUUAUGUCUGUCCGGUGCCAGACCGACGGGGAUGCCGAUGGACGCCUAAUCACGCCAGCACGCCGGCGAAAGAAGUUGUUCCAGCAGUAGCCUACCCGAGAAGCUCAGCAGUGCCAUUCAUAGAAUCGCUCAUCUAGCAAUACCAAGAAAGUACUUAAAACCGAGCUGAAGAUGGCAAGCCCAAGUUGGUAAACCCAAAUACCCCAGCAGGGUGUCAGAAGUCCACACUGAUGUCCACCAAGGAGGCCCGCAUCUAUAUCUACCGGGAGAAGAGGAUCACAUUACCAACACCUCAAAAGGAGCUGAUUAACCCGGACAAUGCCUUAGCCCACGUGGAAAAGUUCAGAGCAGAGUGUGUCCCGGCGCCAUCACGCCAGCUGUGCCUGGGCUAACUGGCUCUGACCUUUGGCCAGACAUGAACGCACCAUUCUGCUGGCCUGUGGAAAGCUGUGGUGGCUACAUAAAGUUGUAAGUAUUUCACAUUCAAUAUCAUUGUGGGCUAUUCAUUUUACAUUGCUGAUAAACAGCCUCACAUCAAUCCCUUCUCCUGUGCCCAUCACACCCGCUGUAUUCCAGCUGGGUGCACACGUUAAUGUUUUGGUUGAGAGAAACCCAGGAACUGUCCAGAGUACAUCAUCCCUCUGCCAGUCGUUUUCAGUGUUCUGGUCUCUCAAGUAUUCUUUAACCCGGCCCUUUUAAUACCCAAUGUUGUGGCCCCGUCUUUUGACCAUACCACAUCACUAAAUGACAAGCUGCUUUCUAUGCUCUGUACCUUCAUGGCACCUUUUGUUCCCUUCACUGUGGCCCCUUUUUGCCUCUACUUGACACAUAGCUUUCCAUGUUCAGGUCUUACAAGCUAACUUCAACCUGGCAGUUUAAAUGAUGUGGUUCUCUGUUAUGUUAUCAGUGUUCUGCUCUUACCAGUGCUCUAUAACACAGCACUUAUGGUUUCCUUGUGUUGUGAUGCUGUGUAUUGUUGUCCAAUUUCAUACACUUUUAAAUAUGUUCUAUGUAUAUAGUCUUAUAGCUGCUUUGUCUCUGUGGCACAUUUUUUUGUUCUCUUCUUUUCACUGUGGUCACUUGCUGCACUCUCAAUAAAGUGGUCAGUGCUACAA